GGCAGCAUGGUGUAGUGGUUUGAACACUGGACUGUGACUCUGGAGAGCGGGGUUUGAAUUCCUGCUCAGCUG
RNAcentral lists this transfer RNA (72 nucleotides) under Phrynosoma platyrhinos (Desert horned lizard). RNAcentral describes it as "tRNA-OTHER". The record is from RNAcentral. Lineage: Eukaryota; Metazoa; Chordata; Lepidosauria; Squamata; Phrynosomatidae.